This 324-nucleotide ribosomal RNA is filed under the name uncultured eukaryote. RNAcentral describes it as "partial 18S ribosomal RNA". It matches the Rfam family "Eukaryotic small subunit ribosomal RNA", at positions 1470 to 1796 of the family's 1831-position model. The record is from RNAcentral.
CCCCUAGAUGCUCUGGGCCGCACGCGCGCUACACUGGUCGAUGCAACGAGUUUCUUUCCUUGGCCGACAGGCCUGGGCAAUCUUUGAACAUCGAUCGUGAUCGGGAUAGAUUCUUGUAAUUUUUGAUCUUAAACGAGGAAUUCCUAGUAAACGCAAGUCAUCAGCUUGCAUUGAUUACGUCCCUGCCCUUUGUACACACCGCCCGUCGCACCUACCGAUUGAAUGGUCCGGUGAAAUCUCCGGACUGGCGUGAGUCGGAGCAAUCUGACAAACACCGGAAAGUUGAUUAAACCUUACCAUUUAGAGGAAGGUGAAGUCGUAACA